CUCAGUGCGCCGGCAAUUGCUAAACCCGUCUCAACUCUAAUUAACGAAUCCUUGGUGUCUGGAUACAUACCCAAACUUUGGAAGACUGCGAGAGUAGUGCCUAUCCAUAAAAGUGGUGACACUACUUUGGUUUCUAACUAUCGCCCAAUAUCAUUGCUCCCGGUAUUGUCAAAAAUCUUAGAAAAAUGUGUCCAUACGCAACUUUGUGAGUACUACCAACAAUUAAACUAUCUGACCCCUGAUCAAUCGGGCUUUCGCCAGAAUCACUCCACUACAACUGCCCUCCUAAAAGUUUGCAAUGACAUCCAAACUGGCAUGGAACAAGGAGCCCUAACUGGAGCUAUUUUCCUUGAUUUUGCUAAGGCCUUUGACACAGUAGACCACGACAUUCUACUGCACAAACUCGAAAACUCAG
Pelobates cultripes (western spadefoot toad) is the source of this 415-nucleotide non-coding RNA. The record is from the annotation of a GenBank genome assembly. Lineage: Eukaryota; Metazoa; Chordata; Amphibia; Anura; Pelobatidae.